ACGGGGCCCGCACAAGCGGCGGAGCAUGCGGAUUAAUUCGAUGCAACGCGAAGAACCUUACCAAGGCUUGACAUACACCGGUAACGCCCAGAGAUGGGUGCCCCUUUGUGGUCGGUGUACAGGUGGUGCAUGGUUGUCGUCAGCUCGUGUCGUGAGAUGUUGGGUUAAGUCCCGCAACGAGCGCAACCCUCGUCCUAUGUUGCCAGCGGGUCAUGCCGGGGACUCAUGGGAGACUGCCGGGGUCAACUCGGAGGAAGUGGGGAUGACGUCAAAUCAUCAUGCCCCUUAUGUCUUGGGCUUCACGCAUGCUACAAUGGCCGGUACAAAGGGCUGCGAUACCGCGAGGUGGAGCGAAUCCCAGAAAGCCGGUCUCAGUUCGGAUUGGGGUCUGCAACUCGACCCCAUGAAGUCGGGGUCGCUAGUAAUCGCAGAUCAGCAACGCUGCGGUGAAUACGUUCCCGGGCCUU
Molecule: ribosomal RNA, 467 nt
Filed under: uncultured Curtobacterium sp.
Lineage: Bacteria; Bacillati; Actinomycetota; Actinomycetes; Micrococcales; Microbacteriaceae
Description: bacterial SSU rRNA
Rfam family: Bacterial small subunit ribosomal RNA
Source: RNAcentral